GUGAAAUUGUUGAAAGGGAAACGCUUGAAGUCAGUCGCGUUGGCUAGAAAUCAGCCUUGCUUUUGCUCGGUGUACUUUCUUGUCGACGGGUCAGCAUCAGUUUUGACCAUUGGAUAAGGACAUUUGGGAAUGUGGCAUCCUUGGAUGUGUUAUAGCCCAUUGUCGCAUACGGUGGUUGGGAUUGAGGAACUCAGCACGCCCGCAAGGGCAGGGUCUUCUGAUCACUCGACGUGCUUAGGAUGCUGGCAUAAUGGCUUUAAUCGACCCGUCUUGAAACACGGACCAAGGAGUCUAACAUGCCUGCGAGUGUUUGGGUGGAAAACUCAAGCGCGUAAUGAAAGUGAAAGUCGAGAUCCCUUUGGGGAGCAUUGACGCCCGGACCAGACCUUUUGCGACGGAUCCGCGGUAGAGCAUGUAUGUUGGGACCCGAAAGAUGGUGAACUAUGCCUGAAUAGGGUGAAGCCAGAGGAAACUCUGGUGGAGGCUCGUAGCGAUUCUGACGUGCAAAUCGAUCGUCAAAUUUGGGUAUAGGGGCGAAAGACUAAUCGAACCAUCUAGUAGCUGGUUCCUGCCGAGGUUUCCCUCAGGAUAGCAGAAACUCGUAUCA
Molecule: ribosomal RNA, 607 nt
Filed under: uncultured Basidiomycota
Lineage: Eukaryota; Fungi; Basidiomycota
Description: LSU rRNA
Rfam family: Eukaryotic large subunit ribosomal RNA
Source: RNAcentral